RNAcentral lists this ribosomal RNA (305 nucleotides) under uncultured bacterium. Its description in RNAcentral is "bacterial SSU rRNA". It matches the Rfam family "Bacterial small subunit ribosomal RNA", at positions 28 to 334 of the family's 1533-position model. The record is from RNAcentral.
GAUUAACGCUGGCGGCGUGCAUAACACAUUCAAGUCGAACGGUGAAGGGACUUCGGUCCCGGAUCAGUGGCGGACGGGUGAGUAACGCGUGAGCAAUCUACCUCUUGGUGAGGGAUAACAACCGGAAACAGUUGCUAAUACCUCAUGAAACGGCAGACCUGCAUGGGACAACCGUCAAAGAUUUAUUGCCAAGAGAUGAGCUUGCGUCUGAUUAGGUAGUUGGUGAGGUAACGGCCCACCAAGCCGACGGUCGGUAGCCGGACUGAGAGGUUGAACGGCCACAUUGGAACUGAGAUACGGUCCAG